Molecule: long non-coding RNA, 3332 nt
Filed under: Marmota monax (woodchuck)
Lineage: Eukaryota; Metazoa; Chordata; Mammalia; Rodentia; Sciuridae
Source: RNAcentral
UCAGGAAUAGGUGGCAAAGAUUUUCUCCCAUUCUGUAGUCUCUCUCUUCAUGCUCCUUAUCAUUUCCUUUGUUUUGCAGAGGCUUUUUAAUUUAAUUUGAUGCUAUUCCAUGUAUAAAUUACUGUCUUUUUUUUUCUUGAGCUUUUCAGGUCUUUUAAGAAAGUCAGUGCCUACACCAAUAUGUUGGAGUGUUGAGUCUAUGUUUUCUUCUACCAGUUGCAAAGUUUCUGGUCUAAUUCCUAGGUCUUUGGUCUAUGUUGAGUUGACUUUAGUGCAGGAUGAGAGAGAGGGAUCACAUUUCACUAUUUUACAUAUGGCUUUUUAAUGGAUCACACUUCACUAUUUUAAAUAUGGCCCACUGUCGUUUGUUAAAAUGGCUAUCUUUUCUCCAACAUAUUUUUUGGUACCUUUGUAAAGUAUCACAUGACUGUAUCUAUGUGGCUUUGUCUCUGCUUCUUCUGUUCUGUUCCAUUGGUCUUCAGGCCUGUCUUGGUGUGAAAACACCAAUAACAUGGUGUUUUAUUACUAUAGCUCUGUAGUAUAGUUUGAGGUCUGGUAUUGUGAUGCCUCCUGCAUCUUCUUCCUAAGGAUUGCUUUGGCUGUUCUGGGUCUCUUAUUCCGCCAAAUGAAUUUUAGGAUUUUUUCCUAGUUCUGUAAAGUAUGUCAUUAGUACUUUGAUGGGGAUUGCAUUGACUCUUUUUAAUGCUUUUGGUAAUAUGGCCAUUUUGACAAUAUUAAUUCUGCCUAUCCAGGAACAUGGGAGAUCUUUCUAUCUUCUAAGGUUUUCUUCAAUUUUCUUUCUUCAGUGUUCUGUAGUUUUUAUUGUAGAGGUCUCCUUGGUUAGAUUUAUUCCCAAGUAUUUUAUUUUGUUUUUUAAGGUUAUUGUGAACAGGACAGUUUUCCUGAUUUCUUUCUCAGCAAAUUCAUUACUGGAGUAUAGGAAAGCAAAUGAUUUAUGCAUUUUGAUCUGACAUAGUGAUACCUUACUGAAUUUGUUUAUCAGCUCUAGAAGUUUUCUGGUAGAGUUUAUUGGGUCUUCUAGAUAUAGGAUAAAGUCAUGUGUGAAUAGAGAUAAUUCGACAUCUUCUUUUCCUAUUUGUAUCCCUUUCAUUCCUUCUCUUGCCUGAUUAUUUUGGCUAGAGUUUCAAGAACUAUGUUGAAGAGGGAUAAUGAGAGUAAACAUCUUUGCCUUGUUCCUGAUUUGAGAAAAAAAUGUUUUUAGUUAUUGUCCGUCCAACAUGAUGUUGGCUUUGAGUUUGUUAUAUGUAAUUUUUAUAAUGUUGAGGUAAUUUCCUUUUAUCACUAACUUCUCUAGUGUUUUUAAUAUGUACAGGUAUUGGAUAUCAUCAAAUGCUUUUUUCUCAUCUCUGAAGAUGAUAAUGUACCUCUUGUUCUUAACUCUAUUUAUGUGGUGAGUUACAUUUAUUAAUUUAAUGUAUUUGACCAAUCUCACAUUCCUGGGAUUAAACCCACUCAAUCAUGGUGUACUAUUUUCUUGAUGUGGUUUUGAAUGCAGUUUGCUAAUAUUUUAUUAAAUACUUUUGCAUCUAUUUUCACCAGGAACAUUGGCCUAUAGUUUUCUUGGUGUGUCUUUGGUUUUCAUAUCAGUGUGAUACUGGCUUCAUAGAUUAGAUUGAGGAGUAUCCCUUCCCUUUCUAUUUCAUGGAAUAAUUUAAGGAAGAUUGGCAUUAUUUCUUCUUUCAAUGUUUGGUGGGAUUUGGCUGAGAAUCCAUCUGGUCCAGGGCUUUUCUCAGUUGGAAGUCUUUUAAUUGCUGCUUCAAUCUCAUUGCUUGAUAUUGGUUUGUUUACGUUUCUAUAUUCCAUGGGUGAAUUUGGGUAGAUCAUAGAAAUUUAUCAAUGUUUCUUUGGUUUUCCUGUUUAUUGAAGUAUAAACUUUCAAAAUAGUUUCUCAUGAUCCUCUGAAUUUCAGAUGUAUCUGUGGUGAUAUCUCCCUUUUCAUCUCCAACUUUGUUGAUUUGUGUCUUCUCUCCUUUUUUGAUUAGUUUGGCUAAGUGUGUAUCAAUCUUGCUUAUCAUAUCAAAGAGCCAACUCUGUUGCUUUGAUCCUUUGUAUUGCAUUUGUUCUCAAUUUUAUUAAUUUUGUCUCUAAUAUUAACUAUGUCUUGCCUUCUACUGAUUUUUGAACUAGUUUGUUCUUCCUUUUUCAGGGCGUAGAGGUGUAAUAUUAAAUUAUUUAUUUGAGUUUUUUUUUUUUAAUGUAGGCCCUCAAUUCUAUAAUCUUUCCUCUUAGAACUGCCUUCAUACUAUUCCAGAGGUUUUGGUAUGUUGUUUCUCUACUCUCAUUUGUUUCUAUGAAUUUUUUUUAUUUCUUCUUUGAUUUUGUCUAUGACUCACUCCUCCUUCAAAAGUAUAUUAUUUAAUCUCCAGGUGUUAAAUGAUUUGUUUUUAUCUUGUUAAUGAUUUCUAGUUUCAUACCAUAAUGAUCUAAUAAAAUGCAAGAAAUUAUCUCAAUUUUUUUUUGUAACUGCUAAGACUUGCUUUUUGUCCUAAAAUAUGAUCUAUUUUAGGGAAGGUUUUAGGUUCAACUGAGAGGAAAGUGAAUUCAGUUAUUGAUGGGUAGAAUAUUCUAUAGAUGUUUGUUAGAUCCAUUUUAUUAAUAGCAUUGUUUGGUUCUGAAGAAUCUUGGUUUACAUCUGGAUGACCUAUCUAUUGGUAAGAGAGAUGUUUUGAAAUCAGCCAGAAAUAUUAAAUUAUGAUCUAUUUGAUUCUUUACAUUUAGUAGGGUUUUUUUUAAAUGUGAGUAGAUGCAUCCAGGCCAUUUUGAUUUAUUUAUGAUGCUUUAUCCAGAUUUUAUUCUCCUUUAAUUAACUAUUCUUCUAGUGAAGUUCAGCCAUAUGCUGGCUUUGAUAUUUUUACCUUUUAUUUCUUCUGUAUGAAAUAUUUCACUUUGUAUACUUUGUAGUGCAGGUUUAGUGGUUAUGACUGCUUUUAGUUUCUGUUUGUCUUGAAAUUUUUUUACUUCUGCUUUGAUUCUGAAGGGUGGUUUUUCUGGAUAUGGUAAUCUUGAUUGAAAAUUGUUAUCUUUUAAUGCUUUAUAUAUUUUAUUCCAAACCCUCUUGACUUUUACGUUCUAGGUUGAAAAAAAAUCAGUACAAAUUAUAAUGGGCUUAACUCUAAAGGUGGCCUCUUCUUUUUCUCUUCUGGCUUUUAGAAGUCUAUCCUUGUUCUACAGAGCAGGCAUUUCAGUUAUAAUGUGUCUUAGAGAGUGUCCUUUUUGAUCUUGUUUAUUUGGAGUUCUAAUUUUCUGUUGCAUUUGGUUUUCCACUCAUUCCUGAGGUUUGAAAUUUUUUUUAAUUUCAUUGAAAAGAUUGU